RNAcentral lists this ribosomal RNA (607 nucleotides) under Desulfomicrobium apsheronum. RNAcentral's name for it is "bacterial SSU rRNA". It matches the Rfam family "Bacterial small subunit ribosomal RNA", at positions 382 to 982 of the family's 1533-position model. The record is from RNAcentral. Lineage: Bacteria; Pseudomonadati; Thermodesulfobacteriota; Desulfovibrionia; Desulfovibrionales; Desulfomicrobiaceae.
CUUGACGCAGCAACGCCGUGUGAGGGAUGAAGGCUUUCGGGUCGUAAACCUCUGUCGGAAGGGAAGAACGGGCAUUGGUCUAAUAGGCCUUUGUUUUGACGGUACCUUUAGAGGAAGCACCGGCUAACUCCGUGCCAGCAGCCGCGGUAAUACGGAGGGUGCAAGCGUUAUUCGGAAUUACUGGGCGUAAAGCGCACGUAGGCGGCCUUGUAAGUCAGGGGUGAAAUCCCACGGCUCAACCGUGGAACUGCCUUUGAAACUGCAGGGCUUGAAUCCUGGAGAGGGUGGCGGAAUUCCUGGUGUAGGAGUGAAAUCCGUAGAUAUCAGGAGGAACACCGGUGGCGAAGGCGGCCACCUGGACAGGUAUUGACGCUGAGGUGCGAAAGUGUGGGGAGCAAACAGGAUUAGAUACCCUGGUAGUCCACACCGUAAACGAUGGAUACUAGGUGUCGGGGACUUGAUCUUCGGUGCCGUAGCUAACGCGUUAAGUAUCCCGCCUGGGGAGUACGGUCGCAAGGCUGAAACUCAAAGAAAUUGACGGGGGCCCGCACAAGCGGUGGAGUAUGUGGUUUAAUUCGAUGCAACGCGAAGAACCUUACCUAGGCUU